GCCAGGCGUGGUGGCGCAUGUCUGUAAUCCCAGCUACUCGGGAGGCUGAGACAGGAGAACUGCUUGAACCCAGGAGUUGGAGGUUGCAGUGAGCCAAGCUCGUGCCACUGCACUCCAGCCUGGGCAACAGAGUGAGACUCUGUCUCAA
Pongo abelii (Sumatran orangutan) is the source of this 148-nucleotide unclassified non-coding RNA. It matches the Rfam family "Metazoan signal recognition particle RNA". From Rfam's summary of the family: The signal recognition particle (SRP) is a universally conserved ribonucleoprotein. It is involved in the co-translational targeting of proteins to membranes. Lineage: Eukaryota; Metazoa; Chordata; Mammalia; Primates; Hominidae. The record is from Ensembl.